CGAUCGAUUUAGCAUGCUAGUCGCACGAGUUCAGACUCGUGGCGAAUAGCUCAGUAACACGUGGCCAAACUACCCUUCGGACUACAAUACCCUCGGGAAACUGAGGCUAAUAGUAGAUACCACAGUCCACCUGGAAUGAGGACUGUGCUAAAUGCUCCGGCGCCGAAGGAUGUGGCUGCGGCCGAUUAGGUAGACGGUGGGGUAACGGCCCACCGUGCCAAUAAUCGGUACGGGUCAUGAGAGUGAGAACCCGGAGACGGAAUCUGAGACAAGAUUCCGGGCCCUACGGGGCGCAGCAGGCGCGAAACCUUUACACUGCACGACAGUGCGAUAAGGGAAUCCCAAGUGCGUUGGCAUAGAGCCUACGCUUUUGUCCACCGUAGGGAGGUGGACGAAUAAGGGCUGGGCAAGACCGGUGCCAGCCGCCGCGGUAAUACCGGCAGCCCGAGUGAUGGCCGAUCUUAUUGGGCCUAAAGCGUCCGUAGCUGGCCGCACAAGUCCAUUGGAAAAUCCACCCGCUCAACGGGUGGGCGUCCGGUGGAAACUGUGUGGCUUGGGACCGGAAGGCGGGACGGGUACGUCCGGGGUAGGAGUGAAAUCCUGUAAUCCUGGACGGACCGCCGAUGGCGAAAGCACGUCGCGAGAACGGAUCCGACAGUGAGGGACGAAAGCUAGGGUCUCGAACCGGAUUAGAUACCCGGGUAGUCCUAGCCGUAAACAAUGCCUGCUAGGUGUGGCUCCCACUACGAGUGGGGUGCUGUGCCGUAGGGAAGCCGCUAAGCAGGCCGCCUGGGAAGUACGUCCGCAGGGAUGAAACUUAAAGGAUUUGGCGGGGGAGCACUACCACCGGAGGAGCCUGCGGUUUAUUUGGACUCACGCCGGACUCCUCACACCUCGACUGUAAUAAUGACGAUCAGGUUGAUGACCUUUUCCGAG
Molecule: ribosomal RNA, 936 nt
Filed under: archaeon Ea10
Lineage: Archaea
Description: bacterial SSU rRNA
Rfam family: Archaeal small subunit ribosomal RNA
Source: RNAcentral